ACAGCUGGCGGGUGCUACACAUGCAGUCGAACGAGAAGUGGAGCAUCCAUGAGUAAAGUGGCGCACGGGUGAGUACACGUGACUAACCUACCCUUGAGUGGGGAAUAACUUCGGGAAACCGAGGCUAAUACCGCAUAAUACCUACGGGUCAAAGGAGCAAUUCGCUUAAGGAGGGGGUCGCGGCAGAUUAGUUAGUUGGCGGGGUAAUGGCCCACCAAGACAGUGAUCUGUAUCCGGCCUGAGAGGGCGCACGGACACACUGGAACUGAAACACGGUCCAGACUCCUACGGGAGGCAGCAGUGGGGAAUUUUGCGCAAUGGGGGAAACCCUGACGCAGCAACGCCGCGUGGAGGAUGAAGCCCCUUGGGGCGUAAACUCCUUUCGAUCGGGAAGAUAAUGACGGUACCGGAAGAAGAAGCCCCGGCUAACUUCGUGCCAAGCAGCCGCGGUAAUACGAGGGGGGCGAGCGUUGUUCGGAAUUAUUGGGCGUAAAGGGCGCGUAGGCGGUUGGACAAGUCUUGUGUGAAAUCUUCAGGCUCAACCUGAAGUCUGCAUAGGAAACUGUCCGGCUUGAGUGUGGGAGAGGUGCGUGGGAAUUCCCGGGGUGUAACCAGGUGAAAUGCGUAGAUAUCGGGAGGAACACCUGUGGGAAAAGCGGGCACUGGAGCACAACUGAGCGCUAGGCGCGAAAGCUAGGGGAGGCCAAACAGGGAUUCAGAUUACCCCUUGGUAAUCCUAGCCUUAACGAUGGAUUGCUUGGUGUGACCGGGU
Molecule: ribosomal RNA, 772 nt
Filed under: uncultured bacterium
Lineage: Bacteria
Description: bacterial SSU rRNA
Rfam family: Bacterial small subunit ribosomal RNA
Source: RNAcentral